RNAcentral lists this ribosomal RNA (274 nucleotides) under uncultured bacterium. RNAcentral's name for it is "partial 16S ribosomal RNA". It matches the Rfam family "Bacterial small subunit ribosomal RNA", at positions 524 to 794 of the family's 1533-position model. The record is from RNAcentral.
UACGUAGGGUCCCGAGCGUUGUCCGGAAUUACUGGGCGUAAAGAGCUUGUAGGCGGUUCGUCGCGUCGUUUGUGAAAACUUGGGCGUCAACCUUAAGCUUGCAGGCGAUACGGGCGGACUAGAGUACUUCAGGGGAGACUGGAAUUCCUGGUGUAGCGGUGAAAUGCGCAGAUAUCAGGAGGAACACCGGUGGCGAAGGCGGGUCUCUGGGAAGUAACUGACGCUGAGAAGCGAAAGCAUGGGUAGCAAACAGGAUUAGAAACCCCCGGUACGU